This 362-nucleotide unclassified non-coding RNA is filed under the name uncultured bacterium. RNAcentral describes it as "contains 16S-23S intergenic spacer region". The record is from RNAcentral.
UCCCUGUUACCAGGGCAGUCUGAAUAGAAAAAUUCAACUAUUCACAAGGGUUGCGCUCGUUGAUGGACUUAACCAAACAUCUCACGACACGAGCUGACGACGGCCAUGCAACACCUGUCACUUGGCUCUAAAAGCACUUUCUCCUUUCGGAGAAAUUCCAAGGAUGUCAAACCUGGGUAAGGUUCUUCGCUUACCAUCGAAUUAAAGAACACACUCCACCGCUUGUGCGGGUCCCCGUCAAUUCCUUUAUGUUUUAAGCUUGCGCUCGUACUCCACAGGCGGGAUGCUUAACGCGUUAGCUUCGCUACUAGUCGGGUCGAUACGACUAACAGCUAGCAUCCAUCGUUUACGGCGUGGACUAA